AAAAAAAUCAAACAAAAUCUCAGGAAAAUUUCCAUAACGAGGGAAGUGACUCGCCGGGAACAGUACCACUUCGCUGCAAAAUUUACAUAAGCCAACCCCAUUGAAGACCUCUAAGGCGGCGCCUCUCCUUCAACCCAAGCCCCGCCCCACCCCUGUCCACAGGACCAAUGGCCAGUCCCCUGUGACGAGGAAGUGACGUCAUGAUUUCAUCAACCUUGGUAAUCGACCUACUUACAACCAUAGAAGAGACCUUGGACUUCCUUGGUGGCUCAGACGAAUACACGAAAUGAGGAUUCUGAAAUAGAAACUGAUGACUAAAAUAAGGGCAAGAAAGAUGGCCUGUUUGCUUGGAGAGUGAGGCCAGAAAUAGAAGGCUCUGGGCCUCUCCUACUGCUUCAGUGGACUGAGCCUGUGUUCCAGCUGCUCCCGCAGGCGAUCGUUAAUGCAGAUGGACUCCUCCAGGCUCUGGCACAGGUUCCAGAUUUCACCAAGAUGCUCCUCUAGCAGAUAUCCAGAAGUUUACCUGAGCUUGCCUGAAGAGCAUACUGGCUUCAAACACAGGACCGGUGAUGCUAAGCAAGCCCCAGUGGCCUCCUCCCAUACAGGGGUCUGUGUCAGGGAGUUGGAAUACAUGUACAGUGACCUGGGCAACUGGAGCCUCAACUGGGCCCACACACUGGAAACACAGAAAGGAGAGAGGGGAUGGAAGAAAGGAAAUCAGCAGGUUCGGAGGAUGAGAAAACCCAAAGAAAAGCGAGGCAAUGGUCGAGGAGCUGUUUGCCAAGGGAGGUGAGGACAAGGACAAGUGGAGCUUGGAAAGUUCAGUAGGAAAUGAGGAACGCACAGCAUCAUCUAAGUUCUCAAGGAGCAACCUGAGCUGAGCAGGAAGGACCAGGAGAGUAAUUUAGUCCCCAGAGAACUUGUGCACCUGCCGAGGAGAUCCACACGACGGAUCCAGUUGGUUUAUACUGCUGGGAGCACCAAUCCCAGGAGGAGGAUGAGGUUUAUACUGCUGGGAGCACCGAUCCCAGCAGGAAGAUGAUGGGACCUUGAGGCUCUGCACGAGACCCCCAGCUUGAAACUUGGACGUGCCCACAUGUGGAUGUCCUCCAAGUAAGGGUGUAUGUAAUAAGGUGGAUAAAUGGUGUUUGGAGAAACAUUAGAGAUCUUCAUUCUUAU
Molecule: long non-coding RNA, 1179 nt
Filed under: Bos indicus x Bos taurus (hybrid cattle)
Lineage: Eukaryota; Metazoa; Chordata; Mammalia; Artiodactyla; Bovidae
Description: lncRNA (ENSBIXG00005023193.1)
Source: RNAcentral